Anser cygnoides (Swan goose) is the source of this 1709-nucleotide long non-coding RNA. Lineage: Eukaryota; Metazoa; Chordata; Aves; Anseriformes; Anatidae. The record is from Ensembl.
CCCACGCGGGACACGAUCGCGGGUGGGCCCGGCCCCGCCGAGCCCCCGGUGCUCGCUGCUGCGGGGGGCAGCGGCUCCUUGGAGCCCCCCCGGGCGGGGGGGGCCCGGCCGGUGGCAACCUGCCGGCUGCAGCCCUCCGCCGGCGGGCGGCGAGCGGCGCCUGGAGCCGGUGCCUGCGCUCAGCUGAAAGCUGCGCCUUAGACGGAGGGCUGUUAGUGCCUCAUGAAUAUGCAUUCCUGUCUCAAACUUUUGAGUCUGCCUGAAUUAUAAAACUACUUUGUCGAGAGAGCUUAAUUGGGAAAUCAGCUGCGCAUUGUGCCCCUGUCGGAAUAUGCAAGUGGCUGCAGAUGGAGUCGCCAACUUGGCAUUUACUGGGGGCCAAGUUACGCAGACUACGGCUUUGAAGCAACUUCUUAGAUUUUGUAAUACUCUCGAAUUCUGUCUUGAGAACAUUUUGAGUCAUGCUGAAGCAGCACUGAUAGCAUCAGUAAACACGCACCACGAUCUGCAGCCUGCUUGCUGCUGUGAGCUGAGCAGCGCCGGAAAGCCAAGCGGCGGAGCCGAGAGGUCAGUGCCGGAGCGCUGCCCGAUGCUAACCGGGGCGGGGGCAGCUGCUGGUGCCUGCCCGCUGCACCCCCAGCCCCUGUGUCCGUGCUGGUGUGCCCCAAGGAGCCCAGCAUUUGUUCUUGUGGGGUGCUUAGAGACAUGAUCCAAGCACUUCUCAGUCUUCUCUUGGAUGAGGCUUGUGAGCAGAGCUGUGAAAAGGGCCGUGGUUCAUUCACACGAGACCCUGAGAACCACGAAGUCACCAGCGUGGGGGUGAUCAGGAGCAGGCAGCAGGGUGUGCUCGCGUGUCCCGGUCUGCCCGGGCACCCAGGGCAGCGGUUACACCGACGCCAGGUUUCCAGCUCCAGCACGAAGUCACGGCUGUGCAGAGAGGUGGCACCUCCGCUGGUGUGAUGUUCUUGUAGGACUGGUAGGCAUGUUAAGGAAGAAUAUAAAAUAUAAAUAACCUGAAGGUCAAAGGGAAUCUCCACCAGUCGUGAUGCUUCACACCACUCGGCUACAGCUCAGUUCAUCCAUUACUGAAGACUCCAAGCUCACAUUUACAAUCUGGUCUGAGAAUCCGCAGUGUCUUUUCUAUGCCAGGGCAGGAUUUUCCAAGAUACUGGCCUCAUCCCUCUCACGUUUUCUUGAGCGCCCCCUCAUUUUUCAGCUGCUUGUCUGGAGGGCGGGCACUGCCGAGGACACUGCCGCUGCCCUGGGCAGCCGCUGUCCCUCCUGCUUCAUCCCCAGCCCCCGUCUCGGCACCUCCCUUCAGAGCCUGGCAGUGCUGGGAGUGGAAAUCUCACGUACUGGUGUAAGUGUGCACAUCCUGACUGCAGUGCUUCAACAGUUAAAGGUCCAAGCUCUUAAAUGAGUAAAGAAAAAGGCAUAUUUUUCAGCAGCCAUACUGUUACAUGACUUCAUCUGCAGCCAGCAAAUUAGCGUCUUCCUGCUUGUAUCACUAAUCUGUUCUUAUUUUGGAGCACAACCAUAAAACAUGUUACAUUAGCACCUUUUCCUCCAUAACUCCAGCAUAUGCUUUUGUAGCUGAAUAGGUUUCUAGCUGGUAUAGCUGAAGCUGAAUUCAUUCCAGCUUUGCCUCUUAACGCACUUUCUGCAAAAUCUAGGAUUUUAUACCACUGAUUUCCAUUAAACUGAAUGUU